UACGUAGGGUGCGAGCGUUAAUCGGAAUUACUGGGCGUAAAGGGUGCGCAGGCGGUCUUGCAAGUCAGAUGUGAAAGCCCCGGGCUUAACCUGGGAAUUGCGUUUGAAACUACAAGACUAGAGUGCAGCAGAGGGGAGUGGAAUUCCAUGUGUAGCAGUGAAAUGCGUAGAGAUGUGGAAGAACACCGAUGGCGAAGGCAGCUCCCUGGGUUGACACUGACGCUCAUGCACGAAAGCGUGGGGAGCAAACAGGAUUAGAUACCCUGGUAGUCCACGCCCUAAACGAUGUCAACUAGUUGUCGGAUCUAAUUAAGGAUUUGGUAACGUAGCUAACGCGUGAAGUUGACCGCCUGGGGAGUACGGUCGCAAGAUUAAAACUCAAAG
RNAcentral lists this ribosomal RNA (384 nucleotides) under uncultured bacterium. RNAcentral describes it as "bacterial SSU rRNA". It matches the Rfam family "Bacterial small subunit ribosomal RNA", at positions 524 to 906 of the family's 1533-position model. The record is from RNAcentral.